UUAAGCACAACGGAUGCAAUCCUCCAGGGCUCAGACUACCCCGAGUGUUAGGAAGAAGCCUCCCCUACUGGCAGGUCAUUCCGUAUACUCAUUUCCAGCAUUUCUGCGCUGCACUUUGAAAUAAUGGGCACCGAUUUGGGUGCACCAGUGCUCUGACCUCCGUGACCAUCUGCUUUUCCAGAAACUCCUUUACCACAAGGCAACGAGCCACAGCGGAAGACUGAAGCAGCGUGUUGCAAGAUAACAGCUCACAGCACACCGUCCCCCUCUGCAGCACGGAUUACGCGGCUUGUUUUGGGUUCGGGUGGAUAAGUGGCGAUGCCCACGGCUGCUCCGCGGCAGUGCUGGACAAGCGACAAGCCUGACGUUCCCCCGGAGAGCUCUGCCACGGCAGCCAUGCCGUGCCAUGCCGGGAGCUGCGGUGCCGCUGCCCCGGCACAGCGGGAGCGCGAGGCAGCCGGCUGCAGCCCUCCACCGAGGAGAGGGACUUCUCAUGAUUAUUUCUCCGUUCAAUGAAAAACAUACUUCUCAAACAAGUUGAAAACACUUGUAAAAUCGAGUUCUAAUAAUUGUUCUGUAGUGUGCCUUCACCUUGAGUAUCUACGAGCAGCUUUGUCAGCACUUCUGAGUUCCAGAGUCAGCCAGGAGGCAAGCACCCAUCACAGACCCUUAUCACCUAGUACUUGGACAGCCUCAAAGCACGCUUCUAAAUGGAGGAAGCAAGCCCCUUCAAACAAAAGGUCAAGGUAAUGGAUUAUGCUCAAUCUGGACUGCUGAUCCAAAACAUUCAAGAAUCUGUUCAAUUUUUUUCCAGUAAGAAGUACUGAGGAAGGUAUAGUCAGGUGGCCCAGAGAGUCACGGAGUCCACAGGCUACACGUCUGCAAAACAGUACGCACUGCUGAUAAUGUGACAGCAAAAGCUCUGUGACUGCUUUGAGGGGAAAAGAGGACGUUGAAAGUUUUGCGCAAAACAGUAAAGGAAAAAUCCUCUUUUGAAGAAAAAAAGGCUAGUGCUAUUAAUAAGAACAACUUAUUACCUACGAGUUAAGCAGACUUUACCAUUCCAGUGACAACAGUUCAAUUCACACAUCCUGUAAAGCAAUGCAACUAUGAAGGAGCAGGAUAUCACCUCCCACAGCUGAUGCCAUUGCUCAGAACAAAAGAUGGCACAUUUUCAAGCGCUGCAUUACUGAGUUCCAUGCACACGAGCUCUUUUCUUCAGACUCAAAACAGUUAUUUAUCCUGAUAAGGUCCUCUGUGUGCUUUUCAGUCAGAGAAACCAACUUUCAACUAAGUUUCUUGAGGAAUAUUUAUAAUCUCUAAUAGCAGAUUAAAGGAUGUAACAUGAAAGUUAUUUUUGAUUGGAGGUGUUUGGGUUUGGUUUUUUUCUUUUAAAUAAAGGACUGCUGAGAAAGCACACUGUUUAAUCACACAGAAAUGAAAUCACAGCCACUCAAGGAGUACAGAACUCACUGCUGUACAGACAUUCUUCCCUCGAGUCAUUUCCCGGACAUCUACCCUGGCAUCCCAGCAGUACUCAACUCCUGAACAAGUUUAAAGUUGGCUAACUCAGAGAAUGCAAAGCUGAGCAUGUGACUUCAGCUUUCUGCCUGACCCUCUUUCACUCGCUACUUGUCCCGAUUUAAACUUAUUUCCUGUAAUGCAUCCGUAGCAUCACUUGAGAAGUACAAAAUUAACUGAGAAAAUAUUGGCUUUUGUUUUGUUUUUAAAUAAAUUAA
Molecule: long non-coding RNA, 1739 nt
Organism: Chroicocephalus ridibundus (black-headed gull)
Lineage: Eukaryota; Metazoa; Chordata; Aves; Charadriiformes; Laridae
Exons: 4
Source: RefSeq, a predicted model, not a curated record